Molecule: small RNA, 28 nt
Filed under: Bombyx mori (domestic silkworm)
Lineage: Eukaryota; Metazoa; Arthropoda; Insecta; Lepidoptera; Bombycidae
Description: ovarian small RNA-4504
Source: RNAcentral
AGAUAUCCCGUGACGAAGAACCAUUCUU